RNAcentral lists this long non-coding RNA (2190 nucleotides) under Marmota monax (woodchuck). Lineage: Eukaryota; Metazoa; Chordata; Mammalia; Rodentia; Sciuridae. The record is from RNAcentral.
UUUUGGUAUAACAUUUCACACUUUGUUGGAGAUCUAUCUUCCCUGAAGCUUUUCUGGACCUUUCCAAGCAAGAAAUACUGACAGGCUACAAAGAUAAAGAAAGCCUCCUCUCCCCAGAGAGUGGUAAAUCCAGAGCCAUUUGCCUACAUUCCAAAGGCUUGUAAAAACCCAAAGAAGAGAGCUUCUGCCUUUCCUGGUGGAUUUGUGUUUACGAAUGUUUACCUUCCAUCUCCAGAGCAGAAGGGAGGAGAAGAUGUGCCGGAAGCAUCCGUCUGCGCUCCACAGUUCUGGAGCUCUUCCCUGUGAAAGAGCAUCUACCUGCCUCACCAUCUGAGUCUUAUUGUUCUGCCCCACGGGAAACUGACAGUGGGGAAUUGGUAAUAAGACUGCUAUCUGAGAAAAGGGCUCUGUUCCCUGGUCCAUAUGCCUGGUGUUUCUAGGCAGGAUGAAUAAACGCAUAGAGACCCCAAAACGUCAAGGUAUCUUUUUCUAGUCUUAGUUUAUUUGCAACUGAUUUAUUUCACUUAGCAAAAUGUCCUCAAGGUCCAGCUAUGUUGUAAUCUGGAUCAGAAUUUCUUUUCUUUUUAAAAAAAUUGUGCUGAAAUAUGCAUAAUGUGAAAUUUGCCCUAUGACCGUUUUUAAGCAUACAGUUCAUGGACAUCGAGUGCACACGUGGCUGUGCAGCCAUCACUCCUCCCAUGGGACAGAACUCUUUUCAUUUGCAAAAUUGAAAACUCUGUGCCCACUGAACCAUAAUUCCCCAUUCUGCCCUCCCCCAGCUCAUUCCUUCCUAAGGCUGAAUAAUAUUAAAUCCACUGUAUGUACACAGCACAUUUCAUGUAUGUACAAUGGAUCCAUUCAUCUUUGAUAGACACUUGCCUGGCUUCCUCCUUUUAGCUAUUGUGAAAAAUGUUGCUAUGAAUAUGAUAUAUAGAUAUCAGUGAGUCCCUGCUUUAUUUAUGCUAUCAUUUGACAGGAAAAAAAAAAAUUCAAACAUUUUUUAUUUUGUCAUGCUUUCUUUUUCCUUAAAUACUUAAUUCAUGCCCAUUUUUGUUGCCAUAGUCUCUAUUUGUAUUCCUAACCUCGCUUAUUUGUACUUUAGCUCUAGAAUUAUUACCUAGUAAGCUGCUAGGUCGAAGAUCCCUGUGGAUUGACACAGCUGAUGUGUGUUUUGCUCUUCCAAGUCCGAUGUCGAUUUCUCAAACAUGCAGCUCCCUUUAUAAUGGCAUUUCUAGGAUACAGAUUUUUCUGUCAGGUAGUUUCAAUUCCUCCCAGAAUCCUUCAGGAACGUGGCGGUCUCCACAGGGUCAUCUGGCCAGAAGUUUCAGAGGUUCAGUUCGUGGUGGGCCAACUCCAUAGCUCUGGCCCCGGGGUGGAGCUGAGCAUCAUGGCAGAAGGGCCUGGAAGAGGAAAUCAUCUUAGAACAAAGCCACCAGGAAGCAGAGAGCAGAAAAUAUAUAUUUUUUUUCCUUUAAAUUUCAGCACAUUCACUUUUAUCCCCCUUUUCCUUUAUGGUCAGUGUUUUCUUUUAAUAUCCUAUAUAACAUUGUUUUUGAAAUGUAGUAUGCUUGCUCUGUGGCCCUCCACGCUUCCGGUUUCUGGUUCUUAAGGUUUCGAUGCUGCUCUGACUGAGGCUCCAGACCCACACUGCCUGAGUGGGCAAGCACAGAACUCAAUGGCUGAUGCCACUUUAGGGGACAGACAUCUCCUCUACCCACCUUAGUCCUUAUGUGGGGUUCUUGGGUUGGAUCUAGGAACCAAAUUAAUGCAAGGAAAGUACACGUUUUGGGUUUUUGUUUUUUUUUUUAAUUUUACAUAUAUGUAGGGAUCUUUACAAGUGAAUGAAGUCUGAGGAAAUGAACAGAGCACGAUGCUUAUACACCUUUUUGUAAGCAGCAACUAUUUUUUCCUUAAAUAUAUAUAUUUAGAACUUUUCAAUUAUAAUUUUAAUACAUAUUAAUCGUACAAAUCGAUGGAAUUCAUUUUGAUAUUUUUAUUAUGUAAAGCCCAUAUUUUAUUGGUAUCUUCUUCGUUUUUACUGAAUGUACUUUCUUCUUUAAUAUAGUCUUUAUCUGUGACAUAUAUAUAUUUUAUAUAUAGUCUUUAUCUGUGACAGUUUCUCGGGUGUCCCUUGUUUUCGAUGAUCUUGACAGCCUUCAAAAACUAUUGAACAGACAUGUUGUGAAAUGC